This 337-nucleotide unclassified non-coding RNA is filed under the name soil metagenome. Its description in RNAcentral is "partial contains 5.8S ribosomal RNA, internal transcribed spacer 2, and large subunit ribosomal RNA". The stretch from base 1 to 120 matches the Rfam family "5.8S ribosomal RNA", at positions 35 to 154 of the family's 154-position model. The record is from RNAcentral.
GAUGAAGAACGUAGCGAAAUGCGAUAAGUAAUGUGAAUUGCAGAAUUCAGUGAAUCAUCGAAUCUUUGAACGCACAUUGCGCCCGCCAGUAUUCUGGCGGGCAUGCCUGUUCGAGCGUCAUUUCAACCAUCAAGCCCCAGGCUUGUGUUGGGGACCUGCGGCUGCCGCAGGCCCUGAAAACCAGUGGCGGGCUCGCUGUCACACCGGGCGUAGUAGAUUUUAUCUCGCUCAGGGCGUGCUGCGGGUCCCGGCCGUUAAAAGCCUUUUUUUUACCCAAGGUUGACCUCGGAUCAGGUAGGAAGACCCGCUGAACUUAAGCAUAUCAAUAAGCGGAGGA